RNAcentral lists this ribosomal RNA (922 nucleotides) under uncultured Bacteroidota bacterium. RNAcentral describes it as "bacterial SSU rRNA". It matches the Rfam family "Bacterial small subunit ribosomal RNA", at positions 1 to 916 of the family's 1533-position model. Lineage: Bacteria; Pseudomonadati; Bacteroidota. The record is from RNAcentral.
GGAUCCAGACUUUGAUUCUGGCUCAUGAUGAACGCUAGCUACAGGCUUAACACAUGCAAGUCGAGGGGCAGCAUGAACUUAGCUUGCUAAGUUUGAUGGCGGCCGGCGCACGGGUGAGUAACACGUAUCCAACCUUCCGUUUACUCAGGGGUAGCCUUUCGAAAGAAAGAUUAAUACCUGAUAGUAUGGUGAGAUUGCAUGAUAGCACCAUUAAAGAUUUAUUGGUAAACGAUGGGGAUGCGUUCCAUUAGGUAGUAGGCGGGGUAACGGCCCACCUAGCCGACGAUGGAUAGGGGUUCUGAGAGGAAGGUCCCCCACAUUGGAACUGAGACACGGUCCAAACUCCUACGGGAGGCAGCAGUGAGGAAUAUUGGUCAAUGGGCGAGAGCCUGAACCAGCCAAGUAGCGUGAAGGAUGAAGGUCCUACGGAUUGUAAACUUCUUUUAUACGGGAAUAAAGUAUCCUACGUGUAGGAUUUUGUAUGUACCGUAUGAAUAAGCAUCGGCUAACUCCGUGCCAGCAGCCGCGGUAAUACGGAGGAUGCGAGCGUUAUCCGGAUUUAUUGGGUUUAAAGGGAGCGCAGACGGGAGAUUAAGUCAGUUGUGAAAGUUUGCGGCUCAACCGUAAAAUUGCAGUUGAUACUGGUUUCCUUGAGUGCAGUUGAGGCAGGCGGAAUUCGUGGUGUAGCGGUGAAAUGCUUAGAUAUCACGAAGAACCCCGAUUGCGGAGGCAGCUUGCUAAACUGUAACUGACGUUCAUGCUCGAAAGUGUGGGUAUCAAACAGGAUUAGAUACCCUGGUAGUCCACACGGUAAACGAUGGAUACUCGCUGUUGGCGAUAUACUGUCAGCGGCCAAGCGAAAGCAUUAAGUAUCCCACCUGGGGAGUACGCCGGCAACGGUGCAACUCAAAGGAAUUGACGG